This 1452-nucleotide ribosomal RNA is filed under the name Veillonella parvula. RNAcentral describes it as "bacterial SSU rRNA". It matches the Rfam family "Bacterial small subunit ribosomal RNA". Lineage: Bacteria; Bacillati; Bacillota; Negativicutes; Veillonellales; Veillonellaceae. The record is from RNAcentral.
UUUUAUGAGAGUUUGAUCCUGGCUCAGGACGAACGCUGGCGGCGUGCCUAAUACAUGCAAGUCGAACGCUUUUUCUUUCACCGGAGCUUGCUCCACCGAAAGAAAAGGAGUGGCGAACGGGUGAGUAACACGUGGGUAACCUGCCCAUCAGAAGGGGAUAACACUUGGAAACAGGUGCUAAUACCGUAUAACAAUCGAAACCGCAUGGUUUCGGUUUGAAAGGCGCUUUUGCGUCACUGAUGGAUGGACCCGCGGUGCAUUAGCUAGUUGGUGAGGUAACGGCUCACCAAGGCAACGAUGCAUAGCCGACCUGAGAGGGUGAUCGGCCACAUUGGGACUGAGACACGGCCCAAACUCCUACGGGAGGCAGCAGUAGGGAAUCUUCGGCAAUGGACGAUCUAACCAGAAAGCCACGGCUAACUACGUGCCAGCAGCCGCGGUAAUACGUAGGUGGCAAGCGUUGUCCGGAUUUAUUGGGCGUAAAGCGAGCGCAGGCGGUUUCUUAAGUCUGAUGUGAAAGCCCCCGGCUCAACCGGGGAGGGUCAUUGGAAACUGGGAAACUUGAGUGCAGAAGAGGAGAGUGGAAUUCCAUGUGUAGCGGUGAAAUGCGUAGAUAUAUGGAGGAACACCAGUGGCGAAGGCGGCUCUCUGGUCUGUAACUGACGCUGAGGCUCGAAAGCGUGGGGAGCAAACAGGAUUAGAUACCCUGGUAGUCCACGCCGUAAACGAUGAGUGCUAAGUGUUGGAGGGUUUCCGCCCUUCAGUGCUGCAGCUAACGCAUUAAGCACUCCGCCUGGGGAGUACGACCGCAAGGUUGAAACUCAAAGGAAUUGACGGGGGCCCGCACAAGCGGUGGAGCAUGUGGUUUAAUUCGAAGCAACGCGAAGAACCUUACCAGGUCUUGACAUCCUUUGACCACUCUAGAGAUAGAGCUUCCCCUUCGGGGGCAAAGUGACAGGUGGUGCAUGGUUGUCGUCAGCUCGUGUCGUGAGAUGUUGGGUUAAGUCCCGCAACGAGCGCAACCCUUAUUGUUAGUUGCCAUCAUUUAGUUGGGCACUCUAGCGAGACUGCCGGUGACAAACCGGAGGAAGGUGGGGAUGACGUCAAAUCAUCAUGCCCCUUAUGACCUGGGCUACACACGUGCUACAAUGGGAAGUACAACGAGUCGCGAAGUCGCGAGGCUAAGCUAAUCUCUUAAAGCUUCUCUCAGUUCGGAUUGUAGGCUGCAACUCGCCUACAUGAAGCCGGAAUCGCUAGUAAUCGCGGAUCAGCACGCCGCGGUGAAUACGUUCCCGGGCCUUGUACACACCGCCCGUCACACCACGAGAGUUUGUAACACCCGAAGUCGGUGAGGUAACCUUUUGGAGCCAGCCGCCUAAGGUGGGAUAGAUGAUUGGGGUGAAGUCGUAACAAGGUAGCCGUAUCGGAAGGUGCGGCUGGAUCACCUCCUUU